Molecule: ribosomal RNA, 318 nt
Filed under: uncultured Pseudomonas sp.
Lineage: Bacteria; Pseudomonadati; Pseudomonadota; Gammaproteobacteria; Pseudomonadales; Pseudomonadaceae
Description: bacterial SSU rRNA
Rfam family: Bacterial small subunit ribosomal RNA
Source: RNAcentral
CGUGAGAUGUUGGGUUAAGUCCGUAACGAGCGCAACCCUUGUCCUUAGUUACCAGCACGUUAUGGUGGGCGACUCUAAGGAGGACUGCCGGUGACAAACCGGAGGAAGGUGGGGAUGACGUCAAGUCAUCAUGGCCCUUACGGCCUGGGCUACACACGUGCUACAAUGGUCGGUACAAAGGGUUGCCAAGCCGCGAGGUGGAGCUAAUCCCAUAAAACCGAUCGUAGUCCGGAUCGCAGUCUGCAACUCGACUGCGUGAAGUCGGAAUCGCUAGUAAUCGUGAAUCAGAAUGUCACGGUGAAUACGUUCCCGGGCCUU